UUCAGUGAAAGCUUCUAGCUUGAGGGAAGAGAGUAGAGUGUGGGAGCAGGGUGCUGGAAAUACUGCUGUGGACUCUGCAUGCAUACUUGGGUAUGUGCACACCCGUGAGCACAUAUUGUCUAAAUUAAUUAACUGCUUGAUUGAUUGAUGAUUGAUUUAAAAAUGUAAAGACUACCUGUACUGGAUGGUUUUGUGUGUCAACUUGACCCAAGCUGGAGUUAUCACAGAGAAAGGAGCCUCCCUUGAGAAAAUGCCUUCAUGAGAUCCAGCUGUAAGUUCCUAACUAUUUUGAAAAGCAGUAAUACACGAAGACACUUGGAGGAGUUAUAGUCCAUAGCUGGGAUCAAGAUUAUAAAAUUAUGGGAGUGGAGUGACGAGUCACCAGCUAAAAGCAGUGGCUGCUCUUCCAGAGGACAUGGAUUCAAUUUCCAACACCCACAUUUUACAUUUAUGGCCAUGUGUGACUACAGUUUCAAGAGAACCUGACAUCCUCUUUUGUCUUCCGAGGACACUGCAUGCAUGUGGUGCACGAACACACGUUCAAGCAAAACACCCAGACAGGUCAUUGCUACUUCCUCUACUCUACAUUACACAGAUGCCGUUGGCUUGUGCAAAACAAAUAAGUAACUCCUCAUAAUGGCUGGGAAAGAAAUAAUUUCAGUGAUGAAAAGGAUCUGUGGUCUGGAGAUUGUGUGUUGGGUGAGGGACUCCUGCCACCCCACCACAGCUUCCUAAGUUUGGGAUAGAUGAUCUACCUCAUCAGUUGGAGACCAUGCUUAGUACACACACCUUCAGAUGUCCAGAGAGAUUUGUAUGCACAGAAUGCUUGUCAUACUCCUCAAUGGUCCACGAAGGAUUCUUUUUCCUUUCUUCCAUAGCUUCUUCCAAACUUACGUCACCAUACAAUGGGUUAUUCUUCAUAACUGAAGACAUGGAUGCUGGAGGACUCUCAGGAAGAACAGGGUUCUCCCCACCAAACCCCUUGAUUCGUUGAGUAGCGAUGUUCUUUUCUCUCUGUUGGGAGAUUAGAAAAUGAGGCUUCUGUUGUAAGAUGGGCUUCUUGGUGGCAGUGUAGCCAAAAUGACAGAAGUCUGCAUCUGAAAACCUUUUGAUUCUGUCUCAAACCCAACAGAUGAAGCAAUGAAUUAGAAAACAACUCCUGGAUCUACCUCAAUCUAGAAUCCCUCCAUUUCAGACUUCUCUCUCUUUAUGUUACCUUGUUGAGUUUAAUACUUAUUUCACUGAUACUUUCCAGUCACAAAGAAAGAAUUGUGUUCCUCAACUCAUCUAGUAGAUGUUGAAGAAACUCAGUCUCCCAGUGCAUUAGGCUUUAAUGACAUUUUAUGCCUUUUUGUAUAUUAUACGAGUCAUAAAAAUACUUAAUAUUAUUCUUUAAAUCCUGUAAAAUUAAGAUUAAAAACAUUUUUCAAGAACUGCAAUAUGGCUCAGCAGAUAAAAGUUCUUGCUGCUAACCUGCCAGACUGGAUUUGAUCACCAAGCACUCAAAGUACAAGAAGAGAAUAGGAUCCCAAAGCUGCCAGUGCCUUGUUCCUUACUUCCACACACGCACAAGUCCUGGCAAGCACGUGAACACACACACAAACACACACACACACAUACACACACACACAUAUCAAUAAGUGCCAAAAACUUCUAAGAUCAUCUUAUACCUAUGUCUUGGCUUGUUAUAAACAAAUCAUUAGCUUCUCUGUCAUAGUUUAGGAGGGGGAAUGGUGUAUAGUCUCUUCUCCCAAAUUGAAACAUUCCAUGCUAGACCAAGAUGGAAGGUUCAUUAAAUAUGAGAAGCUAAUUAUGCAUCUUACCAGGCUCAGGAAACUCAAUACACUGAAAUUCUUCAGAAGAUUCAAAGGCUAGAAGACUCAUGAGUUAUCUUCCCAAGCUUGUAUAAGCAAUAAACAACUGCUAGAGUAUAGGCGUCAUCUCAGUGGAGCUGCCUGCUAGCUGGCACAAGCAGGGCACUCCUGAAAUGCAUGUUCUGUGAGUCCUUCCCCAUGCUAGAUUGGGUUUUCUUGGUGCUACUGUUGGCUACGAGCCACCCAUGCUCCUGUAAGGUUCUGUAAUAAACCUAUUGAUUUGAGUCUUUUCAGUUUGUUAUCAUUCCCCUAACUGAGGUGGAAAGACAUUUUUUUCACAUCUC
Molecule: long non-coding RNA, 2158 nt
Organism: Grammomys surdaster
Lineage: Eukaryota; Metazoa; Chordata; Mammalia; Rodentia; Muridae
Exons: 3
Source: RefSeq, a predicted model, not a curated record